Molecule: microRNA precursor, 63 nt
Filed under: Pristionchus pacificus
Lineage: Eukaryota; Metazoa; Nematoda; Chromadorea; Rhabditida; Neodiplogasteridae
Description: microRNA ppc-mir-8221 precursor
Source: miRBase by way of RNAcentral
GCGGGUAGGUCUAUCCGGUUGUACCAGAUACUGAGUUGGUAACCGGAUACCCCCAUCCCGCUU